Molecule: ribosomal RNA, 490 nt
Filed under: Boaedon fradei
Lineage: Eukaryota; Metazoa; Chordata; Lepidosauria; Squamata; Lamprophiidae
Description: partial large subunit ribosomal RNA
Rfam family: Bacterial large subunit ribosomal RNA
Source: RNAcentral
CGCCUGCCCAGUGAACAAUUAAACGGCCGCGGUACCCUAACCGUGCAAAGGUAGCGUAAUCACCUGUCUAUUAAUUGUAGACCCGUAUGAACGGCAAAAUGAGGGUUUAACUGUCUCUUGUGAUAAAUCAAUUAAACUGAUCUCCCAGUCCAAAAGCUGGAAUAUCCCCAUAAGACCAGAAGACCCUGUGAAGCUUAAACUAAACUAUUAAACCAAAUAAUAGCUCCUUUAGGUUGGGGCGACCUUGGAAAAAAAAAGAACUUCCAAACUAAAUGACUUACAUCACACUCUUAUAGGCCUACAAGCCCACAAUCGACCCAGCACAGCUGAAUAAUGAACCAAGUUACUCCAGGGAUAACAGCGCCAUCUUCUUCAAGAGCCCAUAUCAAAAAGAAGGUUUACGACCUCGAUGUUGGAUCAGGACAUCCUAAUGGUGCAGCCGCUAUUAAGGGUUCGUUUGUUCAACGAUUAACAGUCCCACGUGAUCUGA